CAGCAGCCGCCGCGGUAAAACAGAGGGUGCGAGCGUUAAUCGGAUUUACUGGGCGUAAAGCGUGCGUAGGCGGCUAAUUGAGUCGGAUGUGAAAUCCCCGAGCUUAACUUGGGAAUUGCAUUCGAUACUGGUUAGCUAGAGUGUGGGAGAGGAUGGUAGAAUUCCAGGUGUAGCGGUGAAAUGCGUAGAGAUCUGGAGGAAUACCGAUGGCGAAGGCAGCCAUCUGGCCUAACACUGACGCUGAGGUACGAAAGCAUGGGGAGCAAACAGGAUUAGAUACCCCUGUAGUCCCUGUCUCUUAUAC
RNAcentral lists this ribosomal RNA (304 nucleotides) under uncultured bacterium. Its description in RNAcentral is "partial 16S ribosomal RNA". It matches the Rfam family "Bacterial small subunit ribosomal RNA", at positions 506 to 807 of the family's 1533-position model. The record is from RNAcentral.